CCAAUCGAACGUGGAGAUAGCUGGUUCUCCCCGAAAUAGCUUUAGGGCUAGCCUCAGGGAAAAGAUUGCAGGCGGUAGAGCACUGAUCAGGAGAGGGACCUACCCGGUUACCAAACCCAGUCAAACUCCGAAUGGCUGCAAUCAUACCUGGGAGUCAGACUGCGACUAAUAAGGGCCGCAGUCAAAAGGGAAACAGCCCAGACCAUCAGCUAAGGUCCCCAAUGCCGUGCUAAGUGGCGAAGGAUGUGGCAUUUCAUAAACAACCAGGAUGUUGGCUCAGAAGCAGCCACCAUUUAAAGAGUGCGUAAUAGCUCACUGGUCGAGAGACGCUGCGCCGAAAAUGUCCGGGGCUCAAGCACGGAACCGAAGCUAUGGCAUGAUAGCAAUAUCAUGGGUAGGGGAGCGUUCUUAUAAGGAAGAAGCAUGACCGGAAGGACAUGUGGACAAAUAAGAAGUGAGAAUGCCGGUAUGAGUAUCGAAAAGAAAGGUGAGAAUCCUUUCCACCGAAAGCCCGAGGGUUCCUGAGCAACGAUCGUCGACUCAGGGUAAGUCGGGACCUAAGCCGAGGCGAGAAGCGUAGGCGAUGGACAACAGGUUGAAAUUCCUGUACCGGAUCAAGUCGAUUGAGCGAAGGAGCGACGCAGGAGGGCACAUGAUCGCGCGGCUGGAAGAGCGCGUCCAAGUGCGUAUGUUGCAGCAGAGGAAAACCCCUGCGGCUAAAAGCAGAGACAUGAUGGGGAGUUAAAGGAAACUUUGACGAACUCAUGGAUCCCACACUGCCAAGAAAAACUUCUAGCGAGACAAGAUCCGCCCGUACCGUAAACCGACACAGGUAGGCGGGGAGAGAAUCCUAAGGUGCGCGGGAAAACCCUCGUUAAGGAACUCGGCAAAUUGCAUCCGUAACCUAGGGAGAAGGAUGGCCCCCGGUCAGUGAAGAGCAGAAACGCUCAGAGCUAAAAGGGGCGGCAGAAAAGAGGCCCAAGCAACUGUUUACCAAAAACACAGGUGCCUGCGAAAGCGAAAGCUGAAGUAUAGGUGCUGACGCCUGCCCGGUGCCGGAAGGUUAAGGAGAGAAGUUAGCGAAAGCGAAGCAUCGAACUGAAGCCCCGGUGAACGGCGGCCGUAACUAUAACGGUCCUAAGGUAGCGAAAUUCCUUGUCGGGUAAGUUCCGACCCGCAUGAAAGGCGUAAUGAUUUGGGCACUGUCUCAACGAGGGGCCCGGUGAAAUUGAAAUACCUGUGAAGAUGCAGGUUACCCGCGACUGGACAGAAAGACCCCAUGGAGCUUCACUGCAGCUUGAGAUUGAAUCCCGGUGACAGAUGCACAGGAUAGGUGGGAGGCGCCGAAGCAUUGCCCUAGGGCGGUGCGGAGCCGAUGUUGGGAUACCACCCUUCUGUUGCUGAGAUUCUAACGCGAGGAGUAACGACCCUGCGGACCCUCUCAGGCAGGCGGUUUGACUGGGGCGGUCGCCUCCGAAAGAGUAACGGAGGCGCCCAAAGGUUCCCUCAGGCCGGACAGAAACCGGCCGAAGAGUGCAAAGGCAGAAGGGAGCUUGACUGCGAGACCAACAAGUCGAGCAGAGACGAAAGUCGGGCUUAGUGAUCCGGUGGUACUGAGUGGAAAGGCCAUCGCUCAACGGAUAAAAGCUACCCUGGGGAUAACAGGCUAAUCUCUCCCAAGAGUUCAUAUCGACGGGGAGGUUUGGCACCUCGAUGUCGGCUCAUCACAUCCUGGGGCUGUAG
This 1743-nucleotide ribosomal RNA is filed under the name human gut metagenome. RNAcentral's name for it is "bacterial LSU rRNA". It matches the Rfam family "Bacterial large subunit ribosomal RNA", at positions 829 to 2558 of the family's 2925-position model. The record is from RNAcentral.